Molecule: ribosomal RNA, 164 nt
Filed under: Gymnanthemum mespilifolium
Lineage: Eukaryota; Viridiplantae; Streptophyta; Magnoliopsida; Asterales; Asteraceae
Also listed under: 2 other names
Description: 5.8S ribosomal RNA
Rfam family: 5.8S ribosomal RNA
About the family: 5.8S ribosomal RNA (5.8S rRNA) is a component of the large subunit of the eukaryotic ribosome. It is transcribed by RNA polymerase I as part of the 45S precursor that also contains 18S and 28S rRNA. Functionally, it is thought that 5.8S rRNA may be involved in ribosome translocation.
Source: RNAcentral
CAAACGACUCUCGGCAACGGAUAUCUCGGCUCACGCAUCGAUGAAGAACGUAGCAAAAUGCGAUACUUGGUGUGAAUUGCAGAAUCCCGUGAACCAUCGAGUUUUUGAACGCAAGUUGCGCCCGAAGCCAUUUGGUCGAGGGCACGUCUGCCUGGGCGUCACGC